UACGUAGGGUGCGAGCGUUAAUCGGAAUUACUGGGCGUAAAGCGUGCGUAGGCGGUUGGCAAAGUCAGCUGUGAAAGCCCCGGGCUUAACCUGGGAACUGCGGUUGAAACUAGUCGACUCGAAUCUGGCAGAGGGGGGUGGAAUUCCACGUGUAGCAGUGAAAUGCGUAGAGAUGUGGAGGAACACCGAUGGCGAAGGCAGCCCCCUGGGCUGAGAUUGACGCUCAGGCACGAAAGCGUGGGGAGCAAACAGG
This 253-nucleotide ribosomal RNA is filed under the name uncultured bacterium. RNAcentral describes it as "partial 16S ribosomal RNA". It matches the Rfam family "Bacterial small subunit ribosomal RNA", at positions 524 to 776 of the family's 1533-position model. The record is from RNAcentral.